GUUAGCCAGAUGUAAGAGCUUAAGGCCUUCUCAAAUGUUUCCUUAGCAUUUGCAAUGCCUUGAGCUUGUGCACAGCCCUAUGUGCAUGUGCAUGAUCUUCCAGAUUUUGUGUAAUAUGUGAGAGCUUUACAAAGCCACAUUUGGACAUCUCAUUCCUUAGACUGUCUUUUAAGCUUUUUGGUUAGCUUAUUGUUUUCCCAACUGUUUUUCACUGCCUCAGACCUUGAGUUCCAUGUUAGGUCAAAUAAAGACAGUCUUGUUAGUGGGGUCUUCCAGGAAAUCACCAACUAGGCCAAAUAAUAACAAAUUCCAUGUUAAUGGAGUUUUGAAUGAGUUCCAAUUCCAUUCUGCUCCCUCCCAUGGUUGCCAGGCGACUGGUUUUCUCCGUGAUUGCAGGCUAUUGGUUUUCAAGGCUACUGUAGUGCUGGAGAGGGAAUGUCCUCCCUCCUAAUUACCAUGGAGUGGGUUCCUUCUGCUCCCAGCUCAAUGUCAUCUCUACAGAAAGCCCUUUGCUAACCAUCCCCUGAAACAGACUCAAAAGGAUUAAGUCACCCACCUGUGGACACACGGGGUGAAGAAACAAUUUGAAUCAUGUUCCCAUCUCUCUUUCUCCUGGAAGUCCAUGUUCCUUGAAAAUUGAGGUCAAUGAAUGAAUGUCAAGACAACUGCUAUAGUUAUUUUAACCUCUGCAGGAUGAGGAAGCCUUGAAGUAUUAGACUAAGGUUAUUUUGCAGACGUCGGUAACCAAUUUCCUUUUAGGCAUGAAAUCAGAGCAAAUAAAGCCAAAUUCUAGACACAAAACACUUCUGGGAUGUGUAGAUUAUCAAAAAAUAAA
RNAcentral lists this long non-coding RNA (835 nucleotides) under Equus caballus (horse). RNAcentral describes it as "lncRNA (ENSECAG00000050995.1)". The record is from RNAcentral. Lineage: Eukaryota; Metazoa; Chordata; Mammalia; Perissodactyla; Equidae.